RNAcentral lists this ribosomal RNA (275 nucleotides) under uncultured Gemmata sp. Its description in RNAcentral is "partial 16S ribosomal RNA". It matches the Rfam family "Bacterial small subunit ribosomal RNA", at positions 338 to 621 of the family's 1533-position model. The record is from RNAcentral. Lineage: Bacteria; Pseudomonadati; Planctomycetota; Planctomycetia; Gemmatales; Gemmataceae.
CCUACGGGGGGCUGCAGUCGAGGAUCUUCGGCAAUGGGGGGAACCCUGACCGAGCGAUGCCGCGUGCGCGACGAAGGCCUUUGGGUUGUAAAGCGCUGUCGAGGGGGGGAAAGCCCGCGAGGGUUGAUCGAUCCCUGGAGGAAGCUCGGGCUAAGUUCGUGCCAGCAGCCGCGGUAAGACGAACCGAGCGAACGUUGUUCGGAAUCACUGGGCUUAAAGGGCGCGUAGGCGGGCCGCCGCGUCCGGGGUGAAAUCUGUCCGCUUAACGGGCAGAC